RNAcentral lists this ribosomal RNA (498 nucleotides) under uncultured bacterium. RNAcentral's name for it is "partial 16S ribosomal RNA". It matches the Rfam family "Bacterial small subunit ribosomal RNA", at positions 29 to 523 of the family's 1533-position model. The record is from RNAcentral.
AUUGAACGCUGGCGGCAGGCCUAACACAUGCAAGUCGAGCGGCAGCGCGGGGCAACCUGGCGGCGAGCGGCGGACGGGUGAGUAACGCGUAGGAAUCUACCCAGUAGCGGGGGAUAGCCCGGGGAAACUCGGAUUAAUACCGCAUACGCCCUAAGGGGGAAAGUGGGGGACCGCAAGGCCUCAUGCUAUAGGAGCGGCCGGUGUCUGAUUAGCUAGUUGGUGGGGUAAAGGCCUACCAAGGCGACGAUCAGUAGCUGGUCUGAGAGGACGAUCAGCCACACUGGGACUGAGACACGGCCCAGACUCCUACGGGAGGCAGCAGUGGGGAAUUUUGGACAAUGGGCGAAAGCCUGAUCCAGCAAUGCCGCGUGUGUGAAGAAGGCCUUCGGGUUGUAAAGCACUUUUGUCCGGAAAGAAAUGGCUCUGGUUAAUACCUGGGGUCGAUGACGGUACCGGAAGAAUAAGGACCGGCUAACUACGUGCCAGCAGCCGCAGUAA